CAGAAGCGAGCCUGCGAAGGCAAGCGGAUCUCUUAAAGCUGUUCUCAGUUCGGACUGCAGUCUGCAACUCGACUGCACGAAGCUGGAAUCGCUAGUAAUCGCGGAUCAGCACGCCGCGGUGAAUACGUUCCCGGGCCUUGUACACACCGCCCGUCAAGCCAUGGGAGCCGGGGGUGCCUGAAGUUCGUUACCGCAAGGAUCGACCUAGGGCAAAACUGGUGACUGGGGCUAAGUCGUAACAAGGUAUC
Molecule: ribosomal RNA, 248 nt
Filed under: uncultured bacterium
Lineage: Bacteria
Description: partial 16S ribosomal RNA
Rfam family: Bacterial small subunit ribosomal RNA
Source: RNAcentral